GAAAAAUGAAUCACACUUUGCUGCUGCUUGAGGAUCUUUAAUGAACUUCACCAUAUAAACUGUCUCAUGGUUGUUCAUCACCUGCGCACUAGAGAAAUGUAAUUGGCUAAGCUAAUUGAUCAAUCAAAUCGAGAAAAGGUUAAAAAGAUAUAACAUAAAAUUAAGGCAGACAUAAUAGAAGACCCCCAAGCAUUGAUAUAAGAUCUAAGAUAAGAAUGUUCAACGCUUACACAACUGUUUAACAGAUACAUCAAGUAAUUGCGCAUAAAAAGUACAAUUAAUAAUCAUACCCAAUUCACAAAAAUAAAUCAAAAUCAUAAACACUUGAAAUAUACAUCACAAUGAAUCAUGAGUUAUGAGCAAAUAUUACUUAUCAAGUAAAAUGAAAAAAAAUGGAUAGAUAGGGAUUUUGACAUAGCAAGUGAAAUAGUGAACUACAUUCAAUUAAAAUUCCAGACAAAAAAGUGGAAAAAUAAUAGAAAAAACAAAGAAAACCAACAUCUUACACAAUUUAGCUCUUGUUGAAUAUGAUAGAUAACAUGUUAUUGGAAUUUAGAGAUGCUUACAAAGGGAUCAAAUUGAUAGCAUAGUGAGUGUAAGUCACCCAUCAAACGCUCAUGGUCCUCUCCUCACUAUAUAAAUAUAUACUAAUAUUUCUAUACACAACGAAUGGCAACCAAUGGGGUAAUAGAAAGAAAAAAUGAAAAAAAUUAUUUUUUCCACUUUGACAUGACUUUGUGAGAAUGGCAACCAAUGAGUAAUAGAAUAUCAUCUGCUCACCAAAUGUAGCAUUCUAUUAAUUCUUAAGUAAUUCCAACUUCCAAAUAAGAAAACUUCCUAGACUUAGCCAAUUUACAAUUAAGGAAUUUGAUAUUAAAUCAGUAAAUUAGUUACUAAAACUUGUGACAGGGUGGCCAAUCUUAUGCUAAUUAACCAUAUAAUACAAUGCAGACAUGAUAUGCAAUUAACAUAUGCAUCUUCUAUGGAAGAGGUUUACUCAUUACAAAGAGAUAUGUUUCAAAUUAAGAGGAAGAAUUUCUACUUCAUGGACUGUGUAGGGAGGGCUAUAAGGCCGCAACAAAAAUAUAAUUUCAAAAAAGAUACUACAUCUACAAUAAGCAAGUCUUUGAACAAGAUUUCCUAAAGCAUCAAUAUUGAACUUGAGUUCUGUCUUUCACAAAAUGACCUACGCACAUUACAUAUGAGGAAGAAGAGGCCAUAGCAAUAACAAUAUAAAAAAGAAGGUACUACCAAUGUUGAUAGCAAUCCAGAACUCCUCUGUCAACGACAAUAUCCAUGCGAUGCGUAUGCCACAUCUUUCAGCCUCGAAAUUUGAAUAAUCAUGUGCCAUAUAAUUCUGAGUAUCAUAUACAACGUCUAUGCAAUAGCUAUUAUAAAUCAAAAGUAACCAACCAAAACUAGUUAUUUGAUUAUAUAAAAAUUGCCUAUGGCUAUCCAUCCGUCAG
This 1466-nucleotide long non-coding RNA is filed under the name Panax ginseng (ginseng). Its description in RNAcentral is "long non-coding RNA (PGIN_LNC015361)". The record is from RNAcentral. Lineage: Eukaryota; Viridiplantae; Streptophyta; Magnoliopsida; Apiales; Araliaceae.